AUCAUGAGGAAGGGGAUGAGUUCUUUCUGUCCUUCAGAACAAGUCUCCAACUGGGCCUCAAUUAAUGCUGUAGAUAAAACACCAGAAAAACCUGUUUCUAACAUUGAAAAAGUUAACAAGGCUGAAAUUCUCAUGCAGUUAAUGUGGAGCAUGAGUCAGCGUUUGAGUCAGAGUCUUGGUGGAGAAAGCGCUGGGACAGGGCUGGUUGGGUAGGCCUCGCAGGUCGAGAGGGGCUGCUGAAGGGCUCAGGGGGUGGGACAGGGCUGGUUGGGUAGGCCUCGCAGGUCGAGAGGGGCUGCUGAAGGGCUCAGGGGGUGGGACAGGGCUGGUUGGGUAGGCCUCGCAGGUCGAGAGGGGCUGCUGAAGGGCUCAGGGGGUGGGACAGGGCUGGUUGGGUAGGCCUCGCAGGUCGAGAGGGGCUGCUGAAGGGCUCAGGGGGUGGGACAGGGCUGGUUGGGUAGGCCUCGCAGGUCGAGAGGGGCUGCUGAAGGGCUCAGGCGGUGGGACAGGGCUGGUUGGGUAGGCCUCGCAGGUCGAGAGGGGCUGCUGAAGGGCUCAGGGGGUGGGACAGGGCUGGUUGGGUAGGCCUCGCAGGUCGAGAGGGGCUGCUGAAGGGCUCAGGCGCUGGGACAGGGCUGGUUGGGUAGGCCUCGCAGGUCGAGAGGGGCUGUUGAAGGGCUCAGGAGGUGGGACAGGGCAGGUAUGGUAGGCCUUGCAGGUCCAGAAUGGCUGAACGAGGCCCUCGAGGACAAGCCUGAGGCGGGGAAGGCGGGGCUGCAGUGCGGCAAACAGGGCUACACAACAACCCCUUGUAUUAUUGAGAAUGGCAAUCUGCUGGUCAUUAUUU
This is a long non-coding RNA of Oncorhynchus keta (chum salmon), 847 nucleotides long. RefSeq lists it as uncharacterized. NCBI's taxonomy places the organism in Eukaryota, Metazoa, Chordata, Actinopteri, Salmoniformes, Salmonidae. The transcript is spliced from 3 exons. The record is from RefSeq and is a predicted model, not a curated record.